UCUUAUCAAGAGUGGUGGAGGGAUGUGCCCUAUGAAGCCCGGCAACCGUCAGUGAAUGACAUGGUGCCAAGUCACAUAAAGUUUAAAGUACUUUAAGAGAUGAGA
RNAcentral lists this non-coding RNA (105 nucleotides) under Staphylococcus lugdunensis. RNAcentral's name for it is "SAM riboswitch aptamer (S box leader)". It matches the Rfam family "SAM riboswitch aptamer (S box leader)". From Rfam's summary of the family: The SAM riboswitch is found upstream of a number of genes which code for proteins involved in methionine or cysteine biosynthesis in Gram-positive bacteria. The SAM riboswitch acts at the level of transcription termination control. Lineage: Bacteria; Bacillati; Bacillota; Bacilli; Caryophanales; Staphylococcaceae. The record is from RNAcentral.